GACGAACGCUGGCGGCGUGCUUAACACAUGCAGGUCGAACGGUAAGGCCCUUCGGGGUACACGAGUGGCGAACGGGUGAGUAACACGUGGGUGAUCUGCCCUGCACUUCGGGAUAAGCCUGGGAAACUGGGUCUAAUACCGGAUAGGAUCACUGCCUGCAUGGGUGGUGGGGGAAAGCUUUUGCGGUGUGGGAUGGGCCCGCGGCCUAUCAGCUUGUUGGUGGGGUGAUGGCCUACCAAGGCGACGACGGGUAGCCGGCCUGAGAGGGUGACCGGCCACACUGGGACUGAGAUACGGCCCAGACUCCUACGGGAGGCAGCAGUGGGGAAUAUUGCACAAUGGGCGCAAGCCUGAUGCAGCGACGCCGCGUGAGGGAUGACGGCCUUCGGGUUGUAAACCUCUUUCAGCUAUGACGAAGCGCAAGUGACGGUAGUAGCAGAAGAAGGACCGGCCAACUACGUGCCAGCAGCCGCCGCGG
This 478-nucleotide ribosomal RNA is filed under the name uncultured bacterium. RNAcentral describes it as "partial 16S ribosomal RNA". It matches the Rfam family "Bacterial small subunit ribosomal RNA", at positions 28 to 523 of the family's 1533-position model. The record is from RNAcentral.